GGAGAGGUGGGUGAGAGGCUUAAACCAGCGGUUUGCUAAACCGCCGUAGGGUUAAUACCCCUACCACGGGUUCGAAUCCCGUCCUCUCCGCCA
Molecule: transfer RNA, 93 nt
Filed under: Acidobacteriota bacterium
Lineage: Bacteria; Pseudomonadati; Acidobacteriota
Description: tRNA-Ser
Rfam family: tRNA
About the family: Transfer RNA (tRNA) molecules are approximately 80 nucleotides in length. Their secondary structure includes four short double-helical elements and three loops (D, anti-codon, and T loops).
Source: RNAcentral